GCAUGGCUGUCGUCAGCUCGUGUUGUGAAAUGUUGGGUUAAGUCCCGCAACGAGCGCAACCCUUAUCCUUUGUUGCCAGCGGUUAGGCCGGGAACUCAAAGGAGCCUGCCAGUGAUAAACUGGAGCAAGGUGGGGAUGACGUCAAGUCAUCAUGGCCCUUACGAGUAGGGCUACACACGUGCUACAAUGGGGCAUCCCCAGACCAGUGACCUCGCGCGAGCAAGCGGCCCUCACAAAAAGCGUACUCGUCCGGAUUGGAGUCUGCAA
Molecule: ribosomal RNA, 267 nt
Filed under: Pantoea sp.
Lineage: Bacteria; Pseudomonadati; Pseudomonadota; Gammaproteobacteria; Enterobacterales; Erwiniaceae
Description: partial 16S ribosomal RNA
Rfam family: Bacterial small subunit ribosomal RNA
Source: RNAcentral